Molecule: long non-coding RNA, 1593 nt
Filed under: Ananas comosus (pineapple)
Lineage: Eukaryota; Viridiplantae; Streptophyta; Magnoliopsida; Poales; Bromeliaceae
Description: long non-coding RNA (ACOM_LNC004773)
Source: RNAcentral
UAUCUAAUUCUCGAGCAGUUUUACUGGGCUACUAUCAGAAGUAAAUGGAUCGGUUUACUACCAAUUUCUUUUCGAUAAUAUAGCUUCUAAAUCGAUGAUCGGCACCGUUGAAUAUAUGAUAAUAGUGAACGGAUUGGUUUACUGUUGAUUUUUUUUUCGAUAAUAUAGCUUCUAAAUCGAUGAGCGACACCAUUGAACAUGAUCUGGACUAUUUUAAAUUAUUUAGAGAUCAAACUUUAUACUUUUUCGACAUUACUAACUAAGCGAUCAAAGGGUCAUAAAAUUUUCAAUUUUAAUGGCCGAUGCGGUGCAUUUGCUUAUUUUUAACUGUAUAGAAGAGUCCAAAUCAACUGAAUUUUUAUUAAAAAACUUUUAAAAACUAUUUAAAACAAGAUCUAACUCUAGAUUUUGAAUACAAAAAAUAUAUCAUCAUUUGCUUUUCAGCCAUCCAUUUUAUAUCUAUUUAAUAGACGAAAGAAUAAUAUUGAAAAAAUAUGAAAUUUGAUUUUUAGAUAGUUUAAAUGAUAUAAAUCAUGUUCAAUGAUGUCAAACGUCGAUUUGUAAGUUAUAUCAUCGAAAAUAAUUAAAUUGGUAAUAAACUAAGCCGUUGACUAUCGAUAGUAGUUCAGAAAAACGCACAUUUCUGUCCAUUGAUAUAUAUAUACAUAUAGAGAGAGAGAGAGGCAGACUUGUGAUUGUUUAGUCGUUGAAUGGCUUCAAGAUUCGUGCAAUACUAUUAACGGUAUAUCCUUACUAGUGCUUGAACAGAUCUUAAGGCGAUCUGAGGCUAAAAAAUUACAAUCACAGAUAUUUCUAUGCUGUUUAAAAUAUAGAAGCUUAAUUCUCUCUCUAUAUAUAAAUGCACCAGGUGUAGGUAGUAAUUUUUUUUGCUUCAUCCACCAAGUUGGCAUGAAGUAGUUGGCAAACUUAGGGUUGAGAAAAAUUCGAGGGCAUGGGUCCCAAAUGAUUAAUUUAUAUUGAGUGUAGAUUUAAGCAUAAUAAUUAAAUGAAUAAUGGCUUCAAUAUCAGAGUGCAGCUACUAUACUCUUAUGAGUAUAGACUUUUUUAUAUUUUUAAGUUUUCGGCCGUUAGAUUUAUCCCCUUGACCAUUCUCACUCGUUGAAUUAUAUUAUUCAACCAAUCACUAACUCAACCUUAGGAAACCACUAUCAUCCUAAUCAGGAACCGCUAUCAUUCUAACCAUACAUUCCUUUAUCCAACGGCCAAAAACUUAUGAGUACAAAAAAAUGUAUACUCAUAAAAGUAUAGUAACCCUAGCCCUAAUAUCAUUACAUGAUUAAGACUUAAUUUAGUAUUGAGGCCUAUCAAACGCUAUUAGAUAAAAUUGAGUUGAGGAAAAAGCAUAUAUGGAUAUGCUUCUACGUUCUCCGGUGGGACCGCAGAAAAUAUAUCAUAACCGACUCAUCGCGAUAUGCGGAAUGCAAUAUUAUAUACGGAAACAAACAGGAUAUUUUUCUAACGUACUUUUUCACCGCACGUAACGCAAUCUCCCCGCAAUCCCAAACGAAGCCUAAAUGAAUAUUGAGGAUAUGUGAAAUGAGGGUAUGUGAAAUUGUGUGCAUUAAUUAAUAU